RNAcentral lists this long non-coding RNA (244 nucleotides) under Phoenix dactylifera (date palm). RNAcentral's name for it is "long non-coding RNA (PDAC_LNC013982)". Lineage: Eukaryota; Viridiplantae; Streptophyta; Magnoliopsida; Arecales; Arecaceae. The record is from RNAcentral.
CCCCUUCUCCUCUGCCGUCCUCUUCUUAUAGCUCGCCGAAGACCAGCGAUGGAUCCCGAGAGAGAAGGAGGGCGUGAUGCUGGGAGGAUGAUCUCGCGGAGACUUGAUUCCUGUUGCACGCGAGGGCGUGAUGCUGGGAGGAUGGCAUGAUCUCGGGCGAAGAUGGGGAUGAAGCUCGAAACGGGUGCCGAUCCGGAAGGAGCUGGGUUACCGUCUCGUUGAAUGCAGUUGGCUGGGAUCGCGG